RNAcentral lists this ribosomal RNA (467 nucleotides) under uncultured bacterium. RNAcentral's name for it is "partial 16S ribosomal RNA". It matches the Rfam family "Bacterial small subunit ribosomal RNA", at positions 28 to 507 of the family's 1533-position model. The record is from RNAcentral.
GAUGAACGCUGGCGGCGUGCUUAACACAUGCAAGUCGAACGGAAAGGCCCAAGCUUGCUUGGGUACUCGAGUGGCGAACGGGUGAGUAACACGUGGGUGAUCUGCCCUGCACUUCGGGAUAAGCCUGGGAAACUGGGUCUAAUACCGGAUAGGACGAUGGUUUGGAUGCCAUUGUGGAAAGUUUUUUCGGUGUGGGAUGAGCUCGCGGCCUAUCAGCUUGUUGGUGGGGGAAUGGCCUACCAAGGCGUCGACGGGUAGCCGGCCUGGGGGGGUGUACGGCCACAAUGGGGCUGAGAUACGGCCCAGACUCCUACGGGAGGCAGCAGUGGGGAAGAUUGCACAAUGGGCGCAAGCCUGAUGCAGCGACGCCGCGUGGGGGAUGACGGCCUUCGGGUUGUAAACUCCUUUCGCUAGGGACGAAGCGUUUUGUGACGGUACCUGGAGAAGAAGCACCGGCUAACUACGUG